AGACAACUGGGGACCUGGAUGAAAUACAGAUUCUAGUUCAGUAGGUUCUUUGAGGCCCAAGAUUCUGCAUUUCUAACAAACUCCCAAGUAAUUUCAAU
This 98-nucleotide microRNA precursor is filed under the name Marmota monax (woodchuck). Lineage: Eukaryota; Metazoa; Chordata; Mammalia; Rodentia; Sciuridae. The record is from RNAcentral.